AAAGUUUUAGUUUAAUAUAAAACAAUCCUUUGUCAAAGGAUAAAAAUAAUAAUUAUAAACUUUU
RNAcentral lists this transfer RNA (64 nucleotides) under Olidiana tongmaiensis. RNAcentral describes it as "tRNA-Asn". Lineage: Eukaryota; Metazoa; Arthropoda; Insecta; Hemiptera; Cicadellidae. The record is from RNAcentral.